Molecule: ribosomal RNA, 253 nt
Filed under: uncultured bacterium
Lineage: Bacteria
Description: partial 16S ribosomal RNA
Rfam family: Bacterial small subunit ribosomal RNA
Source: RNAcentral
GACAGAGGCCCCGAGCGUUAAUCGGAAUUACUGGGCUUAAAGGGUGCGUAGGCGGACCAGAAAGUGCUUUGUGAAAGCCCCCGGCUCAACCGGGGAACAGCGGGGCAUACUGCUGGUCUUGAGGCAGGUAAGGGCCGACGGAACUGAAGGUGGAGCGGUGAAAUGCGUAGAUAUCUGGAGGAACACCGGUGGCGAAGGCGGCAUCCUGGACCAAUAUUGACGCUGAGGAGCGAAAGCCAGGGGAGCAAACGGG